RNAcentral lists this ribosomal RNA (467 nucleotides) under uncultured bacterium. Its description in RNAcentral is "partial 16S ribosomal RNA". It matches the Rfam family "Bacterial small subunit ribosomal RNA", at positions 28 to 507 of the family's 1533-position model. The record is from RNAcentral.
GACGAACGCUGGCGGCGUGCUUAACACAUGCAAGUCGAACGGAAAGGCCUCUUUCGGGGGGUACUCGAGUGGCGAACGGGUGAGUAACACGUGAGUAACCUGCCCUUGACUUUGGGAUAACUUCAGGAAACUGGGGCUAAUACCGGAUAGGAGCUCCUGCUGCAUGGUGGGGGUUGGAAAGUUUCGGCGGUUGGGGAUGGACUCGCGGCUUAUCAGCUUGUUGGUGGGGUAGUGGCUUACCAAGGCUUUGACGGGUAGCCGGCCUGAGAGGGUGACCGGUCACAUUGGGACUGAGAUACGGCCCAGACUCCGACGGGAGGCAGCAGUGGGGAAUAUUGCACAAUGGGUGGAAGCCUGAUGCAGCAACGCCGUGUGCGGGAUGACGGCCUUCGGGUUGUAAACCGCUUUCGCUCAUAACGAAGCUUUGUGUGACGGUAGUGGGUAAAGAAGCACCGGCUAACUACGUG